Molecule: ribosomal RNA, 223 nt
Filed under: Vibrio parahaemolyticus
Lineage: Bacteria; Pseudomonadati; Pseudomonadota; Gammaproteobacteria; Vibrionales; Vibrionaceae
Description: partial 23S ribosomal RNA
Rfam family: Bacterial large subunit ribosomal RNA
Source: RNAcentral
CUUAGAAGCAGCCAUCAUUUAAAGAAAGCGUAAUAGCUCACUGGUCGAGUCGGCCUGCGCGGAAGAUGUAACGGGGCUAAGUAGUAAACCGAAGCUGCGGCAAUGUGCUUUUGCACAUUGGGUAGGGGAGCGUUCUGUAAGCGGUUGAAGGUGUGUGGUAACGCAUGCUGGACGUAUCAGAAGUGCGAAUGCUGACAUGAGUAACGAUAAAGGGGGUGAAAAA